This 253-nucleotide ribosomal RNA is filed under the name uncultured bacterium. RNAcentral's name for it is "partial 16S ribosomal RNA". It matches the Rfam family "Bacterial small subunit ribosomal RNA", at positions 524 to 776 of the family's 1533-position model. The record is from RNAcentral.
UACGGAGGGUGCAAGCGUUAAUCGGAAUUACUGGGCGUAAAGCGCAUGCAGGUGGUUAAUUAAGUCAGAUGUAAAAUCCCCGAGCUCAACUUGGGACUGUGAUUUGAAACUGGUUAACUAGAGUACUGUAGAGGGGGGUAGAAUUUCAGGUGUAGCGGUGAAAUGCGUAGAGAUCUGAAGGAAUACCGGUGGCGAAGGCGGCCCCCUGGACAGAUACUGACACUCAGAUGCGAAAGCGUGGGUAGCAAACAGG